Molecule: ribosomal RNA, 492 nt
Filed under: uncultured bacterium
Lineage: Bacteria
Description: partial 16S ribosomal RNA
Rfam family: Bacterial small subunit ribosomal RNA
Source: RNAcentral
AGUGAACGCUGGCGGUAGGCCUAACACAUGCAAGUCGAACGGCAGCACAGUAAGAGCUUGCUCUUACGGGUGGCGAGUGGCGGACGGGUGAGGAAUACAUCGGAAUCUACUUUUUCGUGGGGGAUAACGUAGGGAAACUUACGCUAGUACCGCAUACGACCUACGGGUGAAAGCAGGGGAUCUUCGGACCUUGCGCGAUUGAAUGAGCCGAUGUCGGAUUAGCUAGUUGGCGGGGUAAAGGCCCACCAAGGCGACGAUCCGUAGCUGGUCUGAGAGGAUGAUCAGCCACACUGGAACUGAGACACGGUCCAGACUCCUACGGGAGGCAGCAGUGGGGAAUAUUGGACAAUGGGCGCAAGCCUGAUCCAGGCAUACCGCGUGGGUGAAGAAGGCCUUCGGGUUGUAAAGCCCUUUUGUUGGGAAAGAAAAGCAGCAGGUUAAUACCCCGCUGUUCUGACGGUACCCAAAGAAUAAGCACCGGCUAACUUCGUG